This 800-nucleotide ribosomal RNA is filed under the name uncultured bacterium. Its description in RNAcentral is "bacterial SSU rRNA". It matches the Rfam family "Bacterial small subunit ribosomal RNA", at positions 8 to 798 of the family's 1533-position model. The record is from RNAcentral.
AGAGUUUGAUCCUGGCUCAGGAUGAACGCUGGCGGCGUGCCUAAUACAUGCAAGUCGAACGCGUACCUUUCGAGGUACGAGUGGCGAACGGGUGAGUAAGACAUAAGCAACCUGGCCCCGGGAGGGGGACAACCACUGGAAACGGCGGCUAAGACCGCAUAGGCUGAUGAUCCGCAUGGGGGAUCAGUAAAAUGCCCUGAGAGGGGGCAGCCUGGGGAUGGGCUUAUGGCGCAUUAGCCAGCUGGUGAGGUAACGGCUCACCAGGGCGACGAUGCGUAGCCGGCCUGAGAGGGUGGACGGCCACACUGGGACUGAGACACGGCCCAGACUCCUGCGGGAGGCAGCAGUAGGGAAUUUUCGGCAAUGGGGGGAACCCUGACCGAGCGACGCCGCGUGGAGGAAGUAGUCCUUCGGGAUGUGAACUCCUGUUAUAAAGGAAGAGAGGCCAGACCAGGAAAUGGGUCUGGAGUAGACGGUACUUUAUGAGGAAGCCACGGCUAACUACGUGCCAGCAGCCGCGGUAAUACGUAGGUGGCGAGCGUUAUCCGGAAUCAUUGGGCGUAAAGAGGGAGCAGGCGGCUGCAAAGGUCCGUGCUGAAAUUCCGGAGCCAAACUCCGGAGCGGGCAUGGAAACCGAGCGGCUAGAGUGCGCAAGAGGAACGCGGAAUUCCAUGUGUAGCGGUGAAAUGCGUAGAUAUAUGGAGGAACACCGGUGGCGAAGGCGGCGUUCUGGGGCGCGACUGACGCUGAGUCCCGAAAGCGUGGGGAGCAAAUAGGGAUUAGAUACCCUAGUAGUCCAC